This 73-nucleotide transfer RNA is filed under the name Bacteroides fragilis. RNAcentral describes it as "tRNA-Arg". It matches the Rfam family "tRNA". From Rfam's summary of the family: Transfer RNA (tRNA) molecules are approximately 80 nucleotides in length. Their secondary structure includes four short double-helical elements and three loops (D, anti-codon, and T loops). Lineage: Bacteria; Pseudomonadati; Bacteroidota; Bacteroidia; Bacteroidales; Bacteroidaceae. RNAcentral also lists the same sequence under 1 other name. The record is from RNAcentral.
GCUCCAAUAGCUCAGUGAAUAGAGCAACGCCCUUCUAAGGCGUGGGUCGUAGGUUUGAAUCCUACUUGGAGUA